AUGUAUUAUGUUAAGAUAAGUCAGGUGCAAUACGAGUUGUACAUAAUGCAGUCAUGGUUGUACGGUGGUUUUGAGAAAUCUGGGUUGUACCAUGGUUUUGGAAUGCAAGUUGUACCACUUGCUUAAACUGUUUGUCACCUCUUCUGUUUCUUUACUUCAGUUUACAAAACCCAUGCUAUAGGCUUCAUCUCUCACACAACUCUCUCUUCUUUUUUGUCGGUGUUUCAUGGCGUGAUGUUGCCAAUGUCCGGAGUGGUUAACGAUAGGAUUAGGCUUUCGCCGCAUGAGGCGGUGAGGAUGGUGUAUUGUGGUGGUGGUUCGAAACACCAUUAAACAUUCAGGCGAUGUUGGCGGCGAAUUGCUAGGGUUCCAAAGAAAGCGGUGAUGAGGAAACAGGCGGAGGAAAUUUUGGUGUCGACCACCAUUCAUGGCGUCGGCGAUGGCGGAUGCCGGUGGGCGAGGAACGACAGAAAUGAUGAGCAGCUGUGGUGGUUUUCAUUAAAAACCUCUGGAGAAAGAAAGGAAAAAGAAACUGAGGGGCAGAUCGGAGAAAUCGAGCUUUUCUACUCAGUCGGUUUGUAAUUGUCAUUAUAAACCCUAUAAACAACUCUCGAGAAAGAAAGGAAGAAGAGAUGGCAAAAAUCGAGAACCCUAUACGGAGGACGACAUGGCGGGAGGAGAGUUCUCUGGCGACGACGUCAAAGAAAUUGGUGUCUUUGUUGUGUGUUCUGACGGGAAAGGGGCGAUGUGUACCCUGGCUUCUCAAGCCCAAACUUUGGCGGAAGAGGUGGACCGGUGAUGACUGCUCAAACGAUGGUAGGUGGCUAGCUACGCAACAUCGACGUCGACGAAACCAAGAACGAGAUGAAAUAAGGUUGAUAAUGACUACCAAGACGAACUGAUUAGAACCCUUAGGACAUUAAGGGUUGAUGAUUUGGAGCACCGACAGAGAAUUGUCGAGUUAAGGCAGACUAAUUGAUGAUUGACAUCAUCACCUCCUCUUCUUCCACGGAGUCUUAAACCUGGGAUAACUCAUAGGUUCACUCACUCUGAUUCCUUACAAGAUCGCUUCAAGAUCCCUAAUCCUGUUGAGAAGAAGACGGUUUUCUCGGGUUCCACAGAAUCUACUCUAUGGCGGUGUUGACUGGUGGUGGAAGGGUUGUGACGACGACGUUCAGGUCACCCACUAUAACAGAUCAAGAAACGAAGGGCAUGGUGGAGUUCUGGUAGUCUAGCCGCCACCUCCGGUGAUGGCGGCUAGGGUCCAGACGAGAUUUCGGAGAAACUCCGAUAGGCUCGAACACGCAUGCAUGUUCUAUUUUCAUGGAGGUCGGAAACUCUCAAGGUUAGAUUCUAAGUUUGGGGGUGUUCCUUCUAUUUUUCGGUGACAUGUGUAAGCUUCAUGUGGUUCAAGUUUCGAAACAUGUUGAGUAUUGGUGACGAUCAAGUUGGAGGGUUGUACGCACGGCCAGGGGGUAUACAUGAUCCCAACAGGAGAAAGUGGUGGGGAACAACGACGACGCGUAGCAGAGGCUGGUGAAAGUUGGUCAACUUCACUUUUUGCAGCCAAAUACCUAUUAAAGAUACAGAGGCGGCUAAAGUGGCGGAGAUACUAGCGGGGUAUGGGGUGGAUCCACAUGCGUAUGGACCGGUAGUGAAUUCUCUCAGGAAGGACACCGAAACCAUGGCUUGAUUUCAUGAUGAAGGCAAUAAUGAAACAAAAGGUGCAGCCAAUAUUGCAUAAGGAUGGUUAGACAGUGGUUCAAAAAGUAGUGCUUAGUUCAAGGUGUGAAGUGAACUAUAUAUAAUCUGGAUGAUUAUGGCUGUAGUAUCUGGUAUCCAUCAAGAUUGUUAAGUAAUACCAUUUGAUAAUUUAAAAGAGUUGGUUAUGUGAUAAGGAAUUCUAACCAAGUGGUUAUUAUGAGGAGAUAAUGGUUGCGAAACACAUUUAGAAUGCAUCCCCAAUUUUUGACAUUCAAGAAUUUGGGUAAUCCUCUUAUCUACAAUUUUUUAUUGUAGUAAAAAGUUUCCUGUUCUUUCAUUACGUGCAUCCUACUUGCCCUUUAUAUUGCGUUUUAUCUUAUAUAUGAAGGUUUUAUCUUA
RNAcentral lists this long non-coding RNA (2103 nucleotides) under Helianthus annuus (common sunflower). The record is from RNAcentral. Lineage: Eukaryota; Viridiplantae; Streptophyta; Magnoliopsida; Asterales; Asteraceae.